CCUUGAGCCGACCAGACGUGAUAUAAUCAUAUGGUACUGAGACGCCUCGAAGCAAGAGCUGUUUGGAUCUUCAUUUAAAAAGGUAUGGCACUGUCUCUCGCAGCUCUCCAGUUCACCAUGGAGGCGUGGGUUCGGUUCCCUGCUGAGUUACAUAUAAUAUAAAGAGUCGGCAUACGACGGGCUCUUCUUAUACUGAACAGGCGUACCAGGCAGGCUCGCAGUCCAUCUGAAUUUCCCAAUACUAGGUUCAUCCCCAAGCAUAAAGUGGGAUUUCUGACCAACUUGGAACAAAGUUGGAAUACAGCAACCCUGCCCGACAGAAAUCUGUACAUCCUAAGGCUCCUAGACGCUCUCUAAUGCACUGGUGAAUAACAAUCACUGCAAAUUGAAAACGGAAACCAACAAAAGCUUA
This 412-nucleotide unclassified non-coding RNA is filed under the name Actinia tenebrosa (Australian red waratah sea anemone). Its description in RNAcentral is "neuropeptide FF receptor 2-like, transcript variant X3". Lineage: Eukaryota; Metazoa; Cnidaria; Anthozoa; Actiniaria; Actiniidae. The record is from RNAcentral.